AAGAGUCUCUCAUUAAGUCAGCAUCAAAAACCUCAUUUGUCCACUCCUCUUUGACAAUGGAGGCAACCCACUGAGGCCAGUUGGCCAUUGUCGUGGGCUCGUACAGGCGGUGCAUUAAGCAGGUCAAGGAUGGUAGGUGUGAGUUAUGGUCAGAAGGUUAAUGAAACAGACACAGUUAUGAGCUGAGAAGGACAAGGAUCCAUGAUGGUGAAAUGGGUUAAGGUUGUCAUGGGAGAAGGUUGAGGUGUAUACACUACAAAUACCCCAAAUGUGGAGACUAAUAAUUGGGUACGGAAUGAUUAUCACACUACAACAAAGGUCAAAUUUCAUUUGUUAGAAAUGAAUGGUCUUCACUUUACCUUUCUAAAACCCAAACACAUAAGAAAAAUACAAUGGCAGCAUCUAUCUACUUACUUAUAUGGCCACGGCUUCCCCAAAUGAGGAAAGAAAACUAACAUAGAAGGGUGAGGAAAAUGCCUUCAAGAUAUAUAAC
Vigna unguiculata (cowpea) is the source of this 493-nucleotide long non-coding RNA. Lineage: Eukaryota; Viridiplantae; Streptophyta; Magnoliopsida; Fabales; Fabaceae. The record is from RefSeq and is a predicted model, not a curated record.